RNAcentral lists this transfer RNA (66 nucleotides) under Hepatica maxima. RNAcentral's name for it is "Anemone maxima tRNA-Asp". The record is from RNAcentral. Lineage: Eukaryota; Viridiplantae; Streptophyta; Magnoliopsida; Ranunculales; Ranunculaceae.
GAAAUCGCUAAGUUGGUUAGAGUCCUGGUCCGUCACGCCAGAAGUAGCGGGUUCGAACCCAGCGUA